RNAcentral lists this microRNA precursor (73 nucleotides) under Medicago truncatula (barrel medic). RNAcentral describes it as "MIR5272 microRNA precursor family". It matches the Rfam family "MIR5272 microRNA precursor family". Lineage: Eukaryota; Viridiplantae; Streptophyta; Magnoliopsida; Fabales; Fabaceae. The record is from Rfam by way of RNAcentral.
UUGAAUGUGAAUUGAUUAUGUUAGGAUACACUUUAACAUAAGUGAUUCUUAUUUGUUGAUGUUAUUUGGAUAA